CACGCGGCGUGCUAACACAGUGCGAGUCGAGCGGGUGAACACGGAGCUUGCUCUGUGGGAUCAGUGGCGAACGGGUGAGUAACACGGUGAGCAACCUGCCCCUGACUCUGGGAUAAGCGCUGGAAACGGCGUCUAAUACUGGAUAUGUGACGUGACCGCAUGGUCUGCGUUUGGAAAGAUUUUUCGGUUGGGGAUGGGCUCGCGGCCUAUCAGCUUGUUGGUGAGGUAAUGGCUCACCAAGGCGUCGACGGGUAGCCGGCCUGAGAGGGUGACCGGCCACACUGGGACUGAGACACGGCCCAGACUCCUACGGGAGGCAGCAGUGGGGAAUAUGCACAAUGGGCGAAAGCCUGAUGCAGCAACGCCGCGUGAGGGAUGACGGCCUUCGGGUUGUAAACCUCUUUUAGCAGGGAAGAAGCGAAAGUGACGGUACCUGCAGAAAAAGCGCCGGCUAACUACGUGCCAGCAGCCGCGGUAAUACGUAGGACGCAAGCGUUAUCCGGAAUUAUUGGGCGUAAAGAGCUCGUAGGCGGUUUGUCGCGUCUGCUGUGAAAUCCCGAGGCUCAACCUCGGGCCUGCAGUGGGUACGGGCAGACUAGAGUGCGGUAGGGGAGAUUGGAAUUCCUGGUGUAGCGGUGGAAUGCGCAGAUAUCAGGAGGACCACCGAUGGCGAAGGCAGAUCUCUGGGCCGUAACUGACGCUGAGGAGCGAAAGGGUGGGGAGCAAACAGGCUUAGAUACCCUGGUAGUCCACCCCGUAAACGUUGGGAACUAGUUGUGGGGUCCAUUCCACGGAUUCCGUGACGCAGCUAACGCAUUAAGUUCCCCGCCUGGGGAGUACGGCCGCAAGGCUAAAACUCAAAGGAAUUGACGGGGACCCGCACAAGCGGCGGAGCAUGCGGAUUAAUUCGAUGCAACGCGAAGAACCUUACCAAGGCUUGACAUAUACGAGAACGGGCCAGAAAUGGUCAACUCUUUGGACACUCGUAAACAGGUGAGUGCAUGGUUGUCGUCUGCUCGUG
Molecule: ribosomal RNA, 1021 nt
Filed under: Microbacterium paraoxydans
Lineage: Bacteria; Bacillati; Actinomycetota; Actinomycetes; Micrococcales; Microbacteriaceae
Description: bacterial SSU rRNA
Rfam family: Bacterial small subunit ribosomal RNA
Source: RNAcentral